GAGGGUAUAGCUCAGUGGCAGAGCAUGUGCUUAGCAUGCACGAGGUCCUGGGUUCAAUCGCCAGUACCUCCA
This 72-nucleotide transfer RNA is filed under the name Camelus bactrianus (Bactrian camel). It matches the Rfam family "tRNA". From Rfam's summary of the family: Transfer RNA (tRNA) molecules are approximately 80 nucleotides in length. Their secondary structure includes four short double-helical elements and three loops (D, anti-codon, and T loops). Lineage: Eukaryota; Metazoa; Chordata; Mammalia; Artiodactyla; Camelidae. The record is from Rfam by way of RNAcentral. RNAcentral also lists the same sequence under 2 other names.